Long non-coding RNA from Entelurus aequoreus (snake pipefish), 158 nucleotides. RefSeq lists it as uncharacterized. The transcript has 3 exons. NCBI's taxonomy places the organism in Eukaryota, Metazoa, Chordata, Actinopteri, Syngnathiformes, Syngnathidae. The record is from RefSeq and is a predicted model, not a curated record.
AGAAGAUAAUGCUACAUGCUAAUAGGCUAGCGCUAUUGACUUUCAAGCUCCGGAUCUGACAGAUAAUGACCCGGAGAGACGCAGCCGCAACCCACAGAAAGACCCGCUCCAAAAGAUAUAUUUCCAGAAAAAAAUGGGGUCGUCUUACAUUCAAAAAG